This 253-nucleotide ribosomal RNA is filed under the name uncultured bacterium. Its description in RNAcentral is "partial 16S ribosomal RNA". It matches the Rfam family "Bacterial small subunit ribosomal RNA", at positions 524 to 776 of the family's 1533-position model. The record is from RNAcentral.
GACAGAGGGGGCAAGCGUUGCUCGGAAUUACUGGGCGUAAAAGGCGCGUAGGCGGAAUGGCAAGUCGGUCGUGAAAUCCUUCGGCUCAACCGAAGAACGUCGAUCGAAACUGCCGUUCUUGAGGAUUGCAGAGGAGACUGGAAUUCCCGGUGUAGCGGUGAAAUGUGUAGAGAUCGGGAGGAACACCGGUGGCGAAGGCGGGUCUCUGGGCAAUUCCUGACGCUGAGGCGCGAAAGCGUGGGGAGCAAACGGG